This is a long non-coding RNA of Paramormyrops kingsleyae, 2722 nucleotides long. RefSeq lists it as uncharacterized. NCBI's taxonomy places the organism in Eukaryota, Metazoa, Chordata, Actinopteri, Osteoglossiformes, Mormyridae. The record is from RefSeq and is a predicted model, not a curated record.
UUUCCGGCCGAUCCCAAGCGCAGGAUGAGCGCGGCUGAUCCGCAGCAGCUUCCAAGGGGAUAAGCGAACCGCUAUUCUUACGACACGAUGGGAUGUCUGUGACGUGGAGCUCCUGUCCCCACUUGUGACACCCCACCUCCCAGCCGCAUGUAACACACCAUCCUUGAUCAUCCUUUCAUGAUGGCCUCGCCGUCAGCAACCGCAACGUCAUAGCGUGGAGGCUGCCGAUCUGGGUCCUUCUUGCACCAGUGAGGGGGAGAUACCGGCCAGCUGCAUACCGUAAGGCUCUACGCUACGAAACAAUUCCGCACUUAACUAGAAGUCAUUACGCCUUAAUCUCGGGGCCUCAUGGGAACGCUGGCGAUUAAGCGGAAAGGAACGGCCGCGGGGUACGAACAGCACAUGAAAGGCCGUUUUAUUAGUCACGGUCUGAUGUGUCUGCGCUGGGUCUCCACCAUGUGACUCAUCAUGUGACUCACCAUGCCAGUGUCACCGACCCGGCUCGCUUUUGGGGGGAGUCACUGAGAGCCAGACUCCGUCCCCCGUCAUCCUCCUCCAAAUGGGCCGCCGACCACCAACAACACGACCGAAGGCAGCUCCAUCCCAGGAGAGAUCUGGUUGCCAUGACGUCUACUGCCAGAGUUGAAAUAUAAACCAGUGCUGAGUCCCAGCAGGGAAAUUCACAGCCCAUGUUGCAUAGCAUAGCAUGUGCACUGAACCUGUAUCUUUCAAGUGAUCGGAAGGUGUGGCCAGUUCCCGAUCAGCUACGGCCAAACUCCACCCUCUCCUGAAGCCAUUGCUGGCUGAUGCACCUUGUUCCUUUACUGGGACACCUGCACUACAAAAAUUUCUGCUGUUUUCUGGUUAAACUUUGGGCUGUUCCCAUCCUAAAUAACCCAGCCCACCCCCCACCCUAUUCACUGGACCGGUGCGCCCCCCCCGGUCCCAUUCCUGACCCUACACUUGAACUCCAUUGAAAGUGUCCGCAAUGCAGAACGUGUCCUGCGCCUUUAAAUGGAGGAGACCAUGGCGACCCCUGAUGCCCCAAACUAUGCUCUCGAUAAACAGACCGCGAGGCCCCAAACACACUCCACGAGGCGUUUGCUCUGUUUUCUUUUUCCAGUGGGUGUCCUUUCACUCUGCCCCCCCCUUUCCGUCUUUCUCUCCGUAUUCGGGUUCCCCUCUUUUGGCUCUGGAGAACGCAGGGGUUUGUCGAAGGGGUGCGGGGCUGUCCCGGGGGAAUUCCCAUUAUGAGGCGGGUAAUUCACUCAACGGCAAUGCAGCAAUUGACACAAUCGGGAGCUCAGCACUGCACGGGUCGAGGGCUGGAGCUUUGCACUGCUGCAAACCCUUUAAUUAGCUCCUCCAAUUCAACGAGCACUUCAGCAUCCCGGACACAACUGACUGAAACUGUAACUAGUGCAAGUUCUCAAUUGUGGUUUAUUACUAAAAACACUGCAUAUUUUUAAAAAUAAGGUGCCUGGUUCUGAAGGCUUGGCAGUUCACAUACUCAAACAAUGACAUUGCAUUACCUGUGAUACUGUUUAUUGGGAACCAGUGCAAACUAAUGGUGGAUGGGAAGAUUAGAGUUUGGCUGCAGGCUCCAAACUUACAUUGAUCUCUCCUGUAACCUUGACGUAAAUCUGGGCAUCAUGGUUAAAUAUCUCUCUGCAUGAAUGGGGAACAUGUGGACUGUCAAUGGAGUAAAUGCAAUAAGGUGAGAACCUGCCAGAAUGUUCUGCAAUGGGAGCCCAGGUCAGAUCCAGGAGCACAGGAGGCUGGAUGUCCUAAGGGAUAAACCCACUACACUGUCCAGAAGAACAAGGGGUCAGCAGGUGACGUGGAUGCUGAACAGAAGGGUCUGAGACCAGAAAGUCGUUUGAUCGAAGCCCAUAAAAUGGCAUGUAACCAACAUCACCUGAACUUCAUCGACAGAACGAUAUGCAACAACAGCGUUAUGACAAAUCAGGUCCUUCUUCACACAGAGGGGCUGUCAGCUGUGGGACACACUGGUCUGGUUACCCCCCUCCAGAAACCAGGACCAGAUCUUCGCCCCUCCCCCCUUUCCUGGUGGGGGGAGGGUUUCAAGUACCAUCCUAUUCUACUGGUGUGGAGGAAAGCCGAUUGAAGAACAGACACAAGUGUGAUCUGAUAAGAAAGCCGACUUCCCUUUGCUGGGCUGUGUGUUUGGAGAAGCCCGGACCUGCCCACCACCCUGCCUGCUAACGUCUCGCGGGGUUGAUCCAGAGUGACAACAUCCAAGGCUUUUUAUCUGAUACCACCCUGUUACAUCUAAUCCAGCUUUUAAAGGCACUUCUGCUUCAUAUCUAUAGCAUGCUAUUAUUUUUUAAGUGUGCGUUUUACCAGCUGUUGGUUUGCUGCAGUCUGACCUGGGUAUUUCAGUUACACUGUCCUGACAUUUACAAGUUUAUAUAUUUUUUUUUAUUUCUGACUUCUUGCGCGAAUGUUUAUUUGUGUAGCAACCUUACACCCGACUAAGGAAUCCCAUUUAGACUCAGUAUAAAAUAAACCAGACUUCGCAAACAUUUUGCCAUCGGAGAGCCCGGUAAUUUUUUCUGUAACCGCUGGCGAUGGACAAAUUACAGUAAAAUGCAGUAUAAGCGUUUUGUGUGAUAAACGUAGGGAUUGAUUGUUGAUGUUACACAGUGAUGUUGAAUGACUUUAAAAAUUCUUUAUAAAAAAUAAAUGUGUAUAUACAGUA